Molecule: non-coding RNA, 738 nt
Organism: Coturnix japonica (Japanese quail)
Lineage: Eukaryota; Metazoa; Chordata; Aves; Galliformes; Phasianidae
Source: RefSeq, a predicted model, not a curated record
UCUCUAUCUGGGGAGCCUUCCUUUUGGAGUGUUUAGCAAGUCUUGGACCUUGGGAUGGAUUGAGCUCAUCAGGCACUGGGAGCCCUGAAGGAGACAAGCAAGGAGAUGAGCAAGCAUUAAAUCUCUGAGAAAAAUGGCCACGGUGAGUUCCAACAGUGGGAAGCCUGAGAGCAACGUGUGGCUCAGUGCACGUGUGUAAAGCCACAAGGCACAUAAAGCAGCACCAGCAAAUGGAAGGGAAGAGGAGCCAGGUCAGGGUCUCUCCUGCUCCACUCUGCAAGAGAACGAUUGAGGAGGAACCUGUGGAAACCUUCCCUUCCACAGCACAGGACCUCUUGAGCCACAAUCGUGACCUAGACUAGGUGUCCCAUCCGAACUUUUAACAUCACUGCAAACCUAAAGGGCUGAAGCAGCAUCUCCCACCCCCUGCCACCAGCACAAGGCUCCUCUGCAGCAUGAGAAGAGACACACAGCGAGAAGCCAUUGUCUAAAAACAUAAUUUAAUGUGAUAUUUCGGUGAGUGUGGUCAACGACUUGAGUUCUUUUGCAGACAGGAACAGGUUUGACGUUAGUGACAUCAUCAUUCACACGAGCAUCGCAUUGCACAGAAAAGUUUACAUUUGACCCCAUAUGAAUGAAGUAGCAGAGGGAAAAAACAUGGUCCAGUGCCACAUCAUGAAUAAUCCAUCUGAAAAUUCAUCAUUGUAAUUAAUCUUCAUUGACAAAAAAAAAAAAAAA